This is a long non-coding RNA of Mastomys coucha (southern multimammate mouse), 520 nucleotides long. RefSeq lists it as uncharacterized. The transcript is spliced from 2 exons. NCBI's taxonomy places the organism in Eukaryota, Metazoa, Chordata, Mammalia, Rodentia, Muridae. The record is from RefSeq and is a predicted model, not a curated record.
UGUCUCCAACCCCCUCAAGCAGAUCUCCCAAAAACUUACAAGGAUGAGUUUGAACAGUCAAGGUCAUUUUCCCAGAGGUCUAUUUCUAAGCCCUCCAAAAUAUGGCUCCCAGUGCUGGGGUGAUCAGCAUGUACCAAUCAUGUCUGGCAAGACCACCACUCUUCUGUACCUGACCAGGCUUUCCCCUCAGCCGGGAUGGCCAGCUCCGACAAUAAGGUACCAGGGCAUGGACUCUGAAUGCCUGACAAUUCCCAACAUGACACCAACUUUCCAUCACAUUAGAGAAAGGCUAUCACUGCCAGUCAGAAAGGAGCAGAGCGGACCCUACCUUCUUCAACUCGAUGAUUUCGUCGUACAUGUCCUCUUUCUCUCUGUAGACAGAAGUCCCAGAGACGUGACCUGGAGGAAGAUAUGCAUGCCUCUUAGGACAUCAUGGGACAAUAGAAAGGACCCCUGGUUAUGCCUGAAGGGAAACCUGUGAGUUAAUAAAACUGUACUUAUUUGCUUGCUUGCUUGUUCU